CUUGUGAUCUGAAGCAGACUUCUUGCACUGAACAGUACCUUUGAGAUGUGACAGCUCUCUCCUGUGUUUAUAUUUGGAUGACUCUACUGUGAUGUGAUACCGGUUAGGACACUGGCUCCUCACCUCUGAAGAGAUGGAUGAGAAGACUUUAGCUUUUCAUAUUUGCCUCUUACAUUCAUUCAGUCAUAGACCACUGCACAGGAGGAAACAAAAAAGCAGGAAGAAGUACAGAAAUGGAGCAGAGAUACCACGCAAGUAGUACAGCUGAUGACAGACCAGACAGUAGACUUGAAGAGAGCUAUUUGCAUAAAAUAUGUUGCAAAAACUGGAUUUCCAAACAAAGGCUUCUGUUAAUGUAUUUCUUCUAUUUCAAUAAAAGCACAUUAAAAAAAAAAAAGAUGGUUAUUUGGAAUUGUUACACAUUACAG
RNAcentral lists this long non-coding RNA (428 nucleotides) under Coturnix japonica (Japanese quail). RNAcentral's name for it is "lncRNA (ENSCJPG00005008329.1)". The record is from RNAcentral. Lineage: Eukaryota; Metazoa; Chordata; Aves; Galliformes; Phasianidae.